GCCGGUAUAGCUCAGUGGCCAGCGCGGCUUCUUUGUAAGAAGCGCGGCGUCCGUUCGAAUCGGACUUCCGGCACCA
Molecule: transfer RNA, 76 nt
Filed under: Burkholderia territorii
Lineage: Bacteria; Pseudomonadati; Pseudomonadota; Betaproteobacteria; Burkholderiales; Burkholderiaceae
Description: tRNA-Thr
Rfam family: tRNA
About the family: Transfer RNA (tRNA) molecules are approximately 80 nucleotides in length. Their secondary structure includes four short double-helical elements and three loops (D, anti-codon, and T loops).
Source: RNAcentral